UACAGAGGUGGCAAGCGUUGUUCGGAAUUACUGGGCGUAAAGGGCGCGUAGGCGGCCAUCUAAGUCAGACGUGAAAUCCCCCGGCUUAACCUGGGAACUGCGUCUGAUACUGGACGGCUAGAGUAUGGGAGAGGGAUGUAGAAUUCCAGGUGUAGCGGUGAAAUGCGUAGAUAUCUGGAGGAAUACCGGUGGCGAAGGCGGCAUCCUGGACCAUUUACUGACGCUGAGGCGCGAAAGCUAGGGGAGCGAACAGG
RNAcentral lists this ribosomal RNA (254 nucleotides) under uncultured bacterium. Its description in RNAcentral is "partial 16S ribosomal RNA". It matches the Rfam family "Bacterial small subunit ribosomal RNA", at positions 524 to 776 of the family's 1533-position model. The record is from RNAcentral.